GAUGAACGCUGGCGGCGUGCCUAAUACAUGCAAGUAGAACGCUGAAGGAGGAGCUUGCUCUUCUGGAUGAGUUGCGAACGGGUGAGUAACGCGUAGGUAACCUGCCUGGUAGCGGGGGAUAACUAUUGGAAACGAUAGCUAAUACCGCAUGACAACAGUUAUUGCAUGAUAACUGUUUAAAAGGGGCAACUGCUCCACUACCAGAUGGACCUGCGUUGUAUUAGCUAGUUGGUGAGGUAACGGCUCACCUAGGCGACGAUACAUAGCCGACCUGAGAGGGUGAUCGGCCACACUGGGACUGAGACACGGCCCAGACUCCUACGGGAGGCAGCAGUAGGGAAUCUUCGGCAAUAGACGGAAGUCUGACCGAGCAACGCCGCGUGAGUGAAGAAGGUUUUCGGAUCGUAAAGCUCUGUUGUAAGAGAAGAACGAGUGUGAGAGUGGAAAGUUCACACUGUGACGGUAUCUUACCAGAAAGGGACGGCUAACUACGUG
This 495-nucleotide ribosomal RNA is filed under the name uncultured bacterium. RNAcentral describes it as "partial 16S ribosomal RNA". It matches the Rfam family "Bacterial small subunit ribosomal RNA", at positions 28 to 507 of the family's 1533-position model. The record is from RNAcentral.